RNAcentral lists this ribosomal RNA (443 nucleotides) under uncultured bacterium. RNAcentral describes it as "bacterial SSU rRNA". It matches the Rfam family "Bacterial small subunit ribosomal RNA", at positions 958 to 1400 of the family's 1533-position model. The record is from RNAcentral.
AACGCGAAGAACCUUACCUACUCUUGACAUCUACAGGAUCUGGUGGAGACACUGGAGUGCCUUCGGGAACUGUAAGACAGGUGCUGCAUGGCUGUCGUCAGCUCGUGUCGUGAGAUGUUGGGUUAAGUCCCGUAACGAGCGCAACCCUUAUUCUUAGUUGCCAGCCAGUAAAGUGGGGAACUCUAGGGAGACUGCCGGUGACAAGCCGGAGGAAGGUGGGGACGACGUCAAGUCAUCAUGGCCCUUACGAGUAGGGCUACACGCGUGUUACAAUGGACGGUACAAAGGGAAGCGAAGCCGCGAGGCGGAGCAAAUCCUAUCAAAGCCGUUCGUAGUCCGGAUUGGAGUCUGCAACUCGACUCCAUGAAGUUGGAAUCGCUAGUAAUCGUGGAUCAGAACGCCACGGUGAAUACGUUCCCGGGCCUUGUACACACCGUAGAGAC